Non-coding RNA from Biomphalaria pfeifferi, 716 nucleotides. The record is from the annotation of a GenBank genome assembly. NCBI's taxonomy places the organism in Eukaryota, Metazoa, Mollusca, Gastropoda, Planorbidae.
GAGAUUCUACACAUACAUUCCUUUAUUCAAUAGAUAGUUCUGUAGUAGUUUAUCCAACAUUUCUUUUCACAAUUUAUAAUACACUAUAUACAAGUAAUCAUGUAAUGAUAUCAGUCACAAAAUAUUUUAGAACUGAAUUGUUUUGUUAUGAGAUUUGUGAAAAUUAAACUGGGUGCUUUAACUAAACAUCAGUGAAAUUAAUCUGUCCUCAAAACCAUAGAAAAAUAAAUGCUAGGAUCAAAUAUCUUAAGCCACAUGUACAAAAAACUUCAUCACAUUAAUUGGUUCCAUUUCACUGACCAAAUUGAAAACUUUCUUGUAAAAAAACAACCCUGAACCAAUCUUUCUGUGUCUAGUCCUCACACAUUCAUCAUUGUACAUGAUCACACAACUGUAUUUAUUGAAAGCUAUACAUUUCAAUUCAAAUGAUUUACCAAUCUGAGGCUAUCAAUCAUAGCAUUCUAGAAUCUUAAUAUAACACAAAGUUAUAGUGUAAGUUGAGCCAAAUAGUAAGAAAAUGUUCUAUGGCAAUUCAAGAUGUUUUUGUGCUAAGAUCUGUCUAAAAUAAUGUACUUCUGGUGCUGAAUGCUACAAUGCACUACUAAUACUGUGUGCACCAAUGUACAACUAAUUUUGUGUGCACCAAUGUACAACUAAUUUUGUGUGCACCAAUGUAAAACUAAUUUUGUGUGAACCAAUGUAAAACUAAUUUUGUG